RNAcentral lists this ribosomal RNA (427 nucleotides) under uncultured Methylobacillus sp. RNAcentral describes it as "bacterial SSU rRNA". It matches the Rfam family "Bacterial small subunit ribosomal RNA", at positions 355 to 774 of the family's 1533-position model. Lineage: Bacteria; Pseudomonadati; Pseudomonadota; Betaproteobacteria; Nitrosomonadales; Methylophilaceae. The record is from RNAcentral.
UGGGGAAUUUUGGACAAUGGGCGCAAGCCUGAUCCAGCCAUGCCGCGUGAGUGAAGAAGGCCUUCGGGUUGUAAAGCUCUUUCGCAAGGAAAGAAAACUUAUCCACUAAUACUGGAUGAGGAUGACGGUACCUUGAUAAGAAGCACCGGCUAACUACGUGCCAGCAGCCGCGGUAAUACGUAGGGUGCAAGCGUUAAUCGGAAUUACUGGGCGUAAAGCGAGCGCAGGCGGUUUUGUAAGUCAGAUGUGAAAGCCCCGGGCUCAACCUGGGAACUGCGUUUGAAACUACAAGGCUAGAGUAUGGGAGAGGGAGGUAGAAUUCCACGUGUAGCAGUGAAAUGCGUAGAGAUGUGGAGGAAUACCAAUGGCGAAGGCAGCCUCCUGGCCUAAUACUGACGCUCAUGCUCGAAAGCGUGGGGAGCAAACA